RNAcentral lists this ribosomal RNA (492 nucleotides) under uncultured bacterium. RNAcentral's name for it is "partial 16S ribosomal RNA". It matches the Rfam family "Bacterial small subunit ribosomal RNA", at positions 29 to 507 of the family's 1533-position model. The record is from RNAcentral.
AGUGAACGCUGGCGGUAGACCUAACACAUGCAAGUCGAACGGCAGCACAGUAAGAGCUUGCUCUUACGGGUGGCGAGUGGCGGACGGGUGAGGAAUACAUCGGAAUCUACUUUUUCGUGGGGGAUAACGUAGGGAAACUUACGCUAAUACCGCAUACGACCUACGGGUGAAAGCAGGGGAUCUUCGGACCUUGCGCGAUUGAAUGAGCCGAUGUCGGAUUAGCUAGUUGGCGGGGUAAAGGCCCACCAAGGCGACGAUCCGUAGCUGGUCUGAGAGGAUGAGCGGCCACAGUGGAAAGGAGACACGGUCCAGACCACUAAGGGAGGCAGCAGUAGGGAAUGGUGCGCAAUGGGCGAAAGCCUGACGGAGCAAUGCCGAGGGAGGGAUGAAGGUCGUAGGAUAGUACACCGCUGUUAUGAGGGAAGAAAAAAUGUGUAAGUAACUAUGCACGUCUGGACGGUACCUAAUCAGAAAGCCACGGCUAACUAAGGG